GUCCACGCCGUAACGAUGAGAACUUGCUGUUGGGCACGUUUAGUGCAAAGUAGCGAAGCUAACGCGAUAAGUUCUCCGCCUGGGAGUACGGCCGCAAGGUUAAACUCAAAGGAAUUGACGGGGCCCGCACAAGCGGUGGAGCAUGUGGUUUAAUUCGAUGCAACGCGAAGAACCUUACCUACUCUUGUAUCUCCGGAAUUUUGCAGAGAUGCGAAAAGUGCCUUCGGGAACCGAAGACAGGUGCUGCAUGGCUGUCGU
RNAcentral lists this ribosomal RNA (258 nucleotides) under uncultured bacterium. RNAcentral's name for it is "partial 16S ribosomal RNA". It matches the Rfam family "Bacterial small subunit ribosomal RNA", at positions 793 to 1055 of the family's 1533-position model. The record is from RNAcentral.